RNAcentral lists this small nucleolar RNA (120 nucleotides) under Nannospalax galili (Upper Galilee mountains blind mole rat). RNAcentral describes it as "Small nucleolar RNA SNORA63 (ENSNGAG00000007625.1)". Lineage: Eukaryota; Metazoa; Chordata; Mammalia; Rodentia; Spalacidae. The record is from RNAcentral.
CUGAGAGCAUAGCCAGUGCUCUUAACUGCUGAGCCAUCUCUCCAGACCCAUAAUGUUGUUUCUUAACUACACCUGUCUUCUAGACACCUGUAGCAGCCUGGGAUACUUGGUCUCAUACAU